GUCCGCACAGUAAACGAUGAAUGCCCGCUGUCGGCGAGAUACAGUCGGCGGCCAAGCGAAAGCGUUAAGCAUUCCACCUGGGGAGUACGCCGGCAACGGUGAAAACUCAAAGGAAUUGACGGGGGACCCGCACAAGCGGUGGAGCAUGUGGUUUAAUUCGAAGCAACGCGAAGAACCUUACCAGGUCUUGACAUCCUUUGACAAUCCUAGAGAUAGGACUUUCCCUUCGGGGACAAAGUGACAGGUGGUGCAUGGUUGUCGU
This 262-nucleotide ribosomal RNA is filed under the name uncultured bacterium. RNAcentral's name for it is "partial 16S ribosomal RNA". It matches the Rfam family "Bacterial small subunit ribosomal RNA", at positions 793 to 1055 of the family's 1533-position model. The record is from RNAcentral.